CGGCAGUAGCGCGGUGGUCCCACCUGACCCCAUGCCGAACUCAGAAGUGAAACGCCGUAGCGCCGAUGGUAGUGUGGGGUCUCCCCAUGCGAGAGUAGGGAACUGCCAGAC
Molecule: ribosomal RNA, 111 nt
Filed under: Escherichia coli
Lineage: Bacteria; Pseudomonadati; Pseudomonadota; Gammaproteobacteria; Enterobacterales; Enterobacteriaceae
Also listed under: 8 other names
Source: RNAcentral